This is a small nuclear RNA of 189 nucleotides. Its record names the gene U2. It matches the Rfam family "U2 spliceosomal RNA". From Rfam's summary of the family: U2 is a small nuclear RNA (snRNA) component of the spliceosome (involved in pre-mRNA splicing). Complementary binding between U2 snRNA (in an area lying towards the 5' end but 3' to hairpin I) and the branchpoint sequence (BPS) of the intron results the bulging out of an unpaired adenosine, on the BPS, which initiates a nucleophilic attack at the intronic 5' splice site, thus starting the first of two transesterification reactions that mediate splicing. The record is from Ensembl.
AUGAGUAUUUGAGUUUAAUAAAAAAAAAUAAAAAAAUCUGUUCUUAUCAGUUUAAUAUCUGAUACGUCCCCUACCCGGGGACUACAUAUUAAAUUGAUUUUUGGAUCACAGAGCUGGAGCCGGGGCUUGCUCUGUCCACUCCACGCAUCUGCCUGGUAUUGCAGUGUCUCCAGGAAUGGUGUGCUUCCC